This 89-nucleotide transfer RNA is filed under the name Bacillota bacterium. RNAcentral describes it as "Firmicutes bacterium (anaerobic digester metagenome) tRNA-Ser". It matches the Rfam family "tRNA". From Rfam's summary of the family: Transfer RNA (tRNA) molecules are approximately 80 nucleotides in length. Their secondary structure includes four short double-helical elements and three loops (D, anti-codon, and T loops). Lineage: Bacteria; Bacillati; Bacillota. RNAcentral also lists the same sequence under 1 other name. The record is from RNAcentral.
GGAAGGGUGCCGGAGUGGACGAUCGGAGCGGUCUUGAAAACCGUCGAGGGGUCAACCCUCCGUGGGUUCGAAUCCCACCCCUUCCGCCA